GAUCCGCAUUGUCGGCCCGGGGAAUUCAGCUCGGACUGUCGGCGACUGCGGGGCGGUCAGGAUCCUCACGGACCGCGCCUCGCGUCCGCCUGGCAUGAGCCGGGUGCACUUUCUUCGGGUCGAAUGCCACGUCCGGUUCUGCGUGCAGUCAGAUGCUCGGUGGGAAGGUGACCGACCGCUUCUGCGGACGGAGUUAUAGCCCAUCGCUGCGGACUUGCUGCGGGACCGAGGACGCUUGCCGUGCCUCAGGGCCCCCUGUCCAGCUCGCUCGCUCGACUGUGGCGGACUGCUUGCAGUGCGCCGCGACCGCCGGCGGGCGUCAGUCAGGGUAAGCUCGGGGUGCCUAGGGUCAGUGGCGAAUCGGUCGGUACUCCACCCGACCCGUCUUGAAACACGGACCAAGGAGUCUAACAUGUGCGCGAGUCAUGGGGUCGUACGAAACCCAAAGGCGCAAUGAAAGUGAAGGCGGCCUCCGGCUUGCCUAGGCAGGAUCCUGUCCCUCGGGGUGGGCGCACUGCCGGCCCGUCUCAGCAGCGUCGUCUGCGAGGCGGAGCAAGAGCGUACACGUUGGGACCCGAAAGAUGGUGAACUAUGCUUGAGUAGGACAAAGUCAGGGGAAACUCUGAUGGAGGUCCGCAGCGAUUCUGACGUGCAAAUCGAUCGUCAGACUUGAGUAUAGGGGCGAAAGACUA
RNAcentral lists this ribosomal RNA (692 nucleotides) under Divaricella irpex. RNAcentral describes it as "eukaryotic LSU rRNA". The stretch from base 330 to 692 matches the Rfam family "Eukaryotic large subunit ribosomal RNA", at positions 1 to 933 of the family's 3401-position model. Lineage: Eukaryota; Metazoa; Mollusca; Bivalvia; Lucinida; Lucinidae. The record is from RNAcentral.